GACGAACGCUGGCGGCGUGCUUAACACAUGCAAGUCGAACGGAAAGGCCCUGCUUUUGUGGGGUGCUCGAGUGGCGAACGGGUGAGUAACACGUGAGUAACCUGCCCUUGACUUUGGGAUAACUUCAGGAAACUGGGGCUAAUACCGGAUAGGAGCUCCUGCUGCAUGGUGGGGGUUGGAAAGUUUCGGCGGUUGGGGAUGGACUCGCGGCUUAUCAGCUUGUUGGUGGGGUAGUGGCUUACCAAGGCUUUGACGGGUAGCCGGCCUGAGAGGGUGACCGGCCAAAUUGGGACUGAGAUACGGCCCAGACUCAUACGGGAGGCAGCAGUGGGGAAUAUUGCACAAUGGGCGGAAGCCUGAUGCAGCAACGCCGCGUGCGGGAUGACGGCCUUCGGGUUGUAAACCGCUUUCGCCUGUGACGAAGCGUGAGUGACGGUAAUGGGUAAAGAAGCACCGGCUAACUACGUG
RNAcentral lists this ribosomal RNA (468 nucleotides) under uncultured bacterium. Its description in RNAcentral is "partial 16S ribosomal RNA". It matches the Rfam family "Bacterial small subunit ribosomal RNA", at positions 28 to 507 of the family's 1533-position model. The record is from RNAcentral.